Long non-coding RNA from Rattus norvegicus (Norway rat), 1308 nucleotides. RefSeq lists it as uncharacterized. The record is from RefSeq and is a predicted model, not a curated record. Lineage: Eukaryota; Metazoa; Chordata; Mammalia; Rodentia; Muridae.
CAGUGAUGCUAGGGGUAGGCAGACUCUACAUGGCAGACCCUUUGGGGAGUGGUUAGGUCAUAAGAGUACUGCUUCUGCAAAUGGGAUCAGUAUGGUAAAAGGAGCCACGAAGAGUUAUAGCCACAGACCAGCUCCACCAGAUGCUUAAUCUACCCACAUUUAAGACUUUUAAUCUCCAGAAAUAUUGCUCCAGACAAAUCUGACACCUGCUAUCUGCUAGCCUCACCACCAUGGCAGCCCUUGUCAAGACUUGCUUCUUUUUCUCUGCACUCAGGACCCAUUGUUGUCUGUGAUUGAAGACUUCCUCCUUUGGGAGAUGCUACAACUUGAAUCUGGAAUAUCCUUUGAAGGUCCAGGUUACGAGAGUGGUGAGUUGUGUGGACAACAAUGGAACCUUCAAGAUAUAGAGUCUAGUGAGAGGCCUUAUUGGGCAUAUGACGUAAAAGGGAAUAAUUGGACCCAGGCUCUUCCCAUCAGCUCUUUCACAUCCUGGCCAUGAAAUUAAUGAUUUCACUAUUCACCCUUCUGACAGAAUGUGUUAUACUGUGUGAUCUUUUCCUUGGAAGACACAAACAAGUAUCUGCUCACUUCAGAAAGUAUGCCAAUGACAGAUUAAGGAAAUAAUUACAUCUAUGUUCAGCAUAAUGGGUCAAUGAUUACUAGACUUACUUAAAGAAGAAUGCUUAGAGGAGUGAAGGGGCCCACAAGACAGCUGCAUCACUGAAAAAUCCCACCUAAUUUUUAUGAUGAUGACCUCAUAAAAAUUGUAGAGAUGGAGUCACAUCGUCACUUAACCUUCCACUGACUAUAUACUCUAGCAUCUCCCAAGAUCAUACUAGCCGGCAUACCAUCACAUGCAGCUGUAGGACAUUGGGCUGCAGAAGAAAUCAAUGACUGGAGUCUCAGGAGUGUCUGCGUUCCAUCCUCUCUGUUUGUGUGGCAGAGUAACUAGUGAGGCUCUCCUGCAAGUAAUCACAUCUAUGAUUUCAAGAUGGCCAUGGCCAGGCCUGAAGAACAGAACUCCUUACCAUUGACCCCACUCCUGAGUAGAAGCCCAAGAGCAAUGGGAAUAAUUGAUAAUGGGACAAAACGCAAGAACCUGUGAGCCCAGAUGGACUUUCAUUUUUGUACAUCGACUAUUUCAGCUUUUUCUCUGCAUUAAUAUAAAACUAAACAAGAAGACAGGCAAUGUCUAUUUGGGCUUCAGGUAAUUCUUUUAAAUUUUCUCCUUCCAAUCCAAAUGCAGAACAGCGGGGAACUUACCAACUGUCAUAUAAGUCAUAUAAGUAAUAAAUAAUUGAAUCUUUA